AUAGGUUAUAAUGCUGAAAGGCGAUGUAAUGUCAAGUCCGAAAAUUUGUUACAAGAUUAUUAACAAAAUAAGUAAUAAUAAAAUUCAUAAAAUGUUAAAUGGUAAUAUAAUUAUCAUGAUUUAAAUUUUAUGCAUUUUGACAAUGUUGAUGUCGGUCAUGUACUGAUUAAUAUGUUUGACAAACAGUAACAAUGAUUUACAUUUACUUUUAAAAUUUUGGAUGUCUUUGGGGGUCAAGAUCAGCGUGAAACGUUCAGGUAUGUAAACAUCUGUUGUUCUCUGACCUGACAGCCGGAUCUUGAGCACCACGCGACGUCCAUGUUGAUUGCAGACCUCCCUCACGUCCUCAAUAGGGUAAGGCAUACCCUCCAUCAACUCUCUUAGAGGAGUCCAGGGUUUCGGGGCGUACCUAUUGAUGACAGUGAGGAAGUGCUCCUCGGGGUGAAUUUCAUCCUCCUCCUGCUGUAACAGCGUCAUUAUGGAGCUGUCCUCCUCAUCCUCUUCCACCGCACGUUUCUGUUGAAAAAUAUUUCAUUAGACUCUUAUUUGUUUCAGGUUAUAAAAUCAUACAAGAGAGAGAUCUUGCGCUCAACAGAUUCACUACUCAAAACUGUGACUAAUAACUCGCAAAUUCUCUGACAUGAGAGAGUGAUCUUGCGCUCAACAGAUUCACUACUCAAAAAAUCAUUUUCUCACCUCACUACUCGGUCUCAUAAGCAGUUGUGCUCUCGUGAGGGAAACUUACCUGCAUCGAGAAAAUCAUAGCCGAGGAACUAAGCUGGAACAAUACCUGAACCGAGUCGAGGAGCUAACUGAGAGAAGUCGAUUAUUUCAUUUCGUCAAAUCAACACAUCAUUUUCUCACCUCACAACUCGGUCUCAUAAGCAGUUGUGCUCUCAUGAGGGAAACUUACCUGCAUCGAGAAAAUCAUAGGCGAGGAGCUAAGCUGGAACAAUACCUGAACCAAGUCGAGGAGCUGAGAGAAGCAUAUCCGAUUAUUUCAUUUCGUCAAAUCAACACAUGUAAGUUCAUUUUUACUUAAAUUUUUCUCCU
Molecule: long non-coding RNA, 1053 nt
Organism: Nilaparvata lugens (brown planthopper)
Lineage: Eukaryota; Metazoa; Arthropoda; Insecta; Hemiptera; Delphacidae
Exons: 3
Source: RefSeq, a predicted model, not a curated record